CCUACGGGGUGCAGCAGUGAGGAAUAUUGCUCAAUGGGGGAAACCCUGAAGCAGCAACGCCGCGUGGAGGAUGAAGGUUUUACGAUUGUAAACUCCUUUUUUGAGAGAAGAUAAUGACGGUAUCUCUCGAAUAAUCACCGGCUAACUCCGUGCCAGCAGCCGCAGUAAUACGGCGGGUGCAAGCGUUACUCGGAAUCACUGGGCGUAAAGGGUGCGCAGUCGGGCUUGUAAGUCAGAUGUGAAAUCCUGUAGCUUAACUACAGAACUGCAUUUGAAACUAUGAGUCUAGAGUGUGGGAGAGGUAGGUGGAAUUCUUGGUGUAGGGGUAAAAUCCGUAGAUAUCAAGAGGAAUACUCAUUGCGAAGGCGACCUACUGGAACAUGACUGACGCUCAUGCACGAAAGCGUGGGGAGCAAACAGGAUUAGAUACCCGAGUAGUC
RNAcentral lists this ribosomal RNA (440 nucleotides) under uncultured bacterium. Its description in RNAcentral is "partial 16S ribosomal RNA". It matches the Rfam family "Bacterial small subunit ribosomal RNA", at positions 338 to 795 of the family's 1533-position model. The record is from RNAcentral.